Molecule: ribosomal RNA, 483 nt
Filed under: uncultured bacterium
Lineage: Bacteria
Description: partial 16S ribosomal RNA
Rfam family: Bacterial small subunit ribosomal RNA
Source: RNAcentral
GACGAACGCUGGCGGCGUGCUUAACACAUGCAAGUCGAACGAUGAAGCCGGAGCUUGCUCCGGUGGAUUAGUGGCGAACGGGUGAGUAACACGUGAGCAAUCUGCCCUUGACUCUGGGAUAACUGCGGGAAACUGUAGCUAAUACCGGAUACGACACCUUGGGGCAUCCCAGGGUGUGGAAAGAAUUUCGGUCAAGGAUGAGCUCGCGGCCUAUCAGCUAGUUGGUGAGGUGAUGGCUCACCAAGGCGACGACGGGUAGCCGGCCUGAGAGGGUGGCCGGCCACACUGGAACUGAGCCACGGUCCAGACUACUACGGUAGGCAGCAGUGGGGAAUAUUGCACAAUGGGCGAAAGCAUGAUGCAGCAACGCCGCGUGAGGGAUGAAGGCCUUCGGGUUGUAAACCUCUUUUAGCAGGGAAGAAGCGAAAGUGACGGUACCUGCAGAAAAAGCACCGGCUAACUACGUGCCAGCCGCCGCAGUAA